This 256-nucleotide unclassified non-coding RNA is filed under the name uncultured fungus. RNAcentral describes it as "partial contains small subunit ribosomal RNA, internal transcribed spacer 1, and 5.8S ribosomal RNA". The stretch from base 1 to 73 matches the Rfam family "Eukaryotic small subunit ribosomal RNA", at positions 1759 to 1831 of the family's 1831-position model. The record is from RNAcentral. Lineage: Eukaryota; Fungi.
ACAAACUUGGUCAUUUAGAGGAAGUAAAAGUCGUAACAAGGUCUCCGUUGGUGAACCAGCGGAGGGAUCAUUACAGAGUUGUAAAACUCCCAACCCUUUGUGAACGAACCUACUAGUUGCCUCGGCGGCGAGCCUUUUAGGCGGACCGCCGGAGGAAUAUAAACUCUUUGCAUUUUAGUAUCUCUGAUUACUUAUUCAAUAAGUUAAAACUUUCAACAACGGAUCUCUUGGUUCUGGCAUCGAUGAAGAACGCAGC